Molecule: long non-coding RNA, 404 nt
Organism: Hordeum vulgare subsp. vulgare (domesticated barley)
Lineage: Eukaryota; Viridiplantae; Streptophyta; Magnoliopsida; Poales; Poaceae
Exons: 3
Source: RefSeq, a predicted model, not a curated record
UGAAAACAUUGACGAGAACAUUGCAAUUGAUGUGUACAAAGAUGAGAUAUUAGACCAUGUCAAGAAACUUUGGAUCAACUGGCGUGGAGACUUGCACCGCCAUUUUGUGAAACCCAGCAAUACUAUGCAGGAGGCUGUGAAAAACGUACCUAAAGACAUUCCAAAGGAUGAUUGGGAAUGGCUUGUCAAGGAGCAUUUCUUCAGCAAGGAGUUUUUGAAGAAGAGCAAGAGAAAUACCCAAAAUAGAGCUAACCUCAAAAUGCUUCAUCGAUCUGGCAGUAAACCCUUUAGACAAAUAAUUUGGGACAUGGGAGGCAAGGAAAACAAGCCACCGAGUAUGGAUAAACUUUUUUCGGAGACACACAAGAAGGGUACAUCCUUUGCUGAUUCUACAACAUCCACCA